Hucho hucho (huchen) is the source of this 62-nucleotide microRNA precursor. Lineage: Eukaryota; Metazoa; Chordata; Actinopteri; Salmoniformes; Salmonidae. The record is from Ensembl.
UCUUUGGUUAUCUAGCUGUAUGAGUGUUACUCGGCCGUCAUAAAGCUAGCUAACCGAAUGUA